RNAcentral lists this ribosomal RNA (303 nucleotides) under uncultured bacterium. RNAcentral describes it as "partial 16S ribosomal RNA". It matches the Rfam family "Bacterial small subunit ribosomal RNA", at positions 507 to 807 of the family's 1533-position model. The record is from RNAcentral.
AGCAGUAGCCACGGUAAUACGAGGGGGGCAAGCGUUGUUCGGAAUUAUUGGGCGUAAAGGGCGCGUAGGCGGUUUGACAAGUUUCAUGUGAAAUCUAUGGGCUCAACCCAUAGUCUGCAUGGAAAACUGUCGGGCUUGAGUAUGGGAGAGGUGAGUGGAAUUUCCGGUGUAGCAGUGAAAUGCGUAGAGAUCGGAAGGAACAUCUGUGGCGAAGGCGACUAUCUGGGCCAACACUGACACUGAGGCACGAAAGCGUGGGGAGCAAACAGGAUUAGAUACCCCCGUAGUCCCUGUCUCUUAUAC